AUUGAACGCUGGCGGCAUGCUUAACAUGCAAGUCGAACGGCAGCAUGUUUUGUAGCAAUACAAAAUGAUGGCGAGUGGCGGACGGGUGAGAAACGCGUAGGAAUCUACCCUAAAGAGGGGGGCAACCCGAGGAAACUCGGGCUAAUACCGCAUAUUACUCAUUGGAGGAAAGGCUGGGGCAACCUGGCGCUUUAGGAGGAGCCUGCGUCCGAUUAGCUAGUUGGUUAGGUAAAGGCUGACCAAGGCGAUGAUCGGUAGCUGGUCUGAGAGGAUGAUCAGCCACAAUGGGACUGGGACACGGCCCAGACGCCUACGGGAGGCAGCAGUGGGGAAUAUUGGACAAUGGGGGGAACCCUGAUCCAGCAAUGCCGCGUGUGUGAAGAAGGCCUUCGUGUUGUAAAGCACUUUAGUUGGGGAAGAAGGUGUAUUGUUUAAGAGAUGAUACAUUUGACUGUACCCAAAGAAUAAGCACCGGCUAACUCUGUGCCAGCCGCCGCCGUAA
RNAcentral lists this ribosomal RNA (502 nucleotides) under uncultured bacterium. RNAcentral's name for it is "partial 16S ribosomal RNA". It matches the Rfam family "Bacterial small subunit ribosomal RNA", at positions 30 to 523 of the family's 1533-position model. The record is from RNAcentral.